Molecule: long non-coding RNA, 36342 nt
Filed under: Ananas comosus (pineapple)
Lineage: Eukaryota; Viridiplantae; Streptophyta; Magnoliopsida; Poales; Bromeliaceae
Description: long non-coding RNA (ACOM_LNC028469)
Rfam family: tRNA (bases 3042-3123)
Source: RNAcentral
UCACAUAAUACCUUCCGCAUAUAUAAUAUUUAAUCAUAUUUUUUUAAAAGUGAAUAUAUAAAAAUUAUCUCAAUUUUACCUACUAAUAUUUAAAAUAUGAGAUAUUUUUUCAAUAAAAUAUAACAUAUAAAUUUACAAUUUAAAAUUUUAAAUUUGUAGUAAAUAUGAUUCACAAAUUGAUAUUGAUUUGAGAUAAUUAUUAAAAUAAUUGUUGACACAGACAUACCCUUUUUUAGUCGGAAAAAAUAUUGUAUUCUAUUUGCAAGAAUAGAAAGAAAUUUAUAUUUAUCUAAAUUUUUGUCAACCGAAAGAUAUUUGCGCGUCCUAUAAAAUAAUAUUCCAUACUUACCAAAAAAACGAAAAUCUCUAUGCAACAAACAUUGAAAAUAUUUUGUAUCUACUAUUUCUCAAUUAGCUAACUAAAAAAAUUAGAUUUGAAAAAAUAAUUUAAAUAAGCUUAUAAAAUCAACUUUAAAUUUUAAAUUUUGUUCAUAAUUUCAAAUGUGAAUUAAUAUUUAAUUCAAAAUUUGAAAUUAAUUAAAUUUUCAAUAUUUUGGGUGUGUAAACAGUAUUUCAAAUUAAAAAUAAUUAAUUAACUUGAAAAUAUAUCAAAUUUUGGGAUGAUAAAUAAAUUAAUGUCUUUAAUAAUUAUUUAUAUUCAAAUUAUGGAUUCAAAAUUAAUUUCAAAUUUUGAGUUUUAUUCAUAAAUUUAAAUAUGAAUUUAUUAAUUUAAAAUUUAGAAUUACUUUAAAUUUUUAAAAUUUGGAUACAUAUUAAAAAAAAAAUUAAAAAAAAUUUAACUGAUAAAUAGAUUUAUACCAUCAAUAAUUAUUUAAAUUUAAAAUAUAAAUAUAAAUUUAAUUUAAUUAAAUGUUACGUGCAUUGCACGUGCACUAUAACUAGUAUAUAUAUGUAUAUAUGAGUACGGCUAUAUAUACCAGCACAACUCUCUCUCUCUCUCUCUCUCUAUAUAUAUAUAUAUAUAUAUAUAAGGUUCGGCUACUAUGCGAUCAAUAACACUAAACACUUGAUACUACCAAGUUUUUCGCCAUUAGAUCGACUUCUUUGGUUAUUUCCACCCGUUAGGUUAUACUAUUAAACUAACCACCAAUCAAUUCUAAGGGACCAUUAUCAUCUUUAACCGUACAUCCCUUCAUCCACUGAUCCAAGGGCCAAAAUAUUUAAUAACACCAAUGAUUUGGUAUUAUUAAUAGUAUAAUAGCAUAGUUCUAUAUAUAUACAAAAAUAAUAUUUGCUAUCUACUUUUUAUCCUUUACAUACAUAGGAUUUGUUAUUUAGUUUAUUAUUAUGAAUCCAAUGGAUGAAAUAUAGAUAGCAAAUACUAUUAAUCUACUAUCAAUAGUAUCAUAAAUAAACACUCUAUCUCUAUCACUCUCGAUAUAUACCCACCCGAUUAACUGGUAAUUUUAUAUAUAAAAAUUUAACUUUUGAAUUAAAAUUUUAUGAUAAGUAUAAAAAUGAUGAAUUCACAAGAACAAAUAAAUGAGCAAAAUAUUAUCAACAAUUUUAAAUCUAAGAUAGAACUAAAAUGAAUUACAUUAGAUAGUUUAUAAACUAAAUUAAAAUCUUAUUGGAAAUUCUGAAAUGCAAAUGUCUUACAGGGAGGAUGUGUUAAGUGCAAAAAGAAAGUACAAUAAAAAAUAUUAUGCUUGUUUUCGUAAGUUAUUUCGUUAUGCAUAUCGCAGUUGAUCGAUUAUGAUAUAUUUUUUACGAUAACACCGGAAAGCGCAAGAGUGUAUCUAUAUAUACUUUUCCUCUAACACUAUUUUAAUUAUUAGCGGUAGAUAAGCCUCAAUACCAAGCAAGCCCAAAAUCAAACUGCGAGGACCAUGAAAAAUAACUCACCUGGACUAGUAAGGGAUGCAGCCAGGAUGUAUAAGGGGCAGGCCACACCUUCUGCCCCAUUCCUUGGCGCGUCGAGGCGGAUUCAAGGCGACUUGGAUUUUCUUCCUAUUUUUUACCUCCCACUUACUACUCCAUUUCGGGCAGAUUUAGAUGGAAGCAGGUUCUUGGUGGAUCAGAACGGAUCAAAAAUGAGAAAGAGUCCUCCACAACCUGCUCCAUGUCUUAGUGGAUCUGGAAGGACUCGGGACAGAAUUUUUUUUUUUCCCUUAUUUUUGACUCUCACUUACUGCCAUAUUCGGGAUGAAUCGGCGCGAAACCUCCAUCAACCCGGAUCCAUUUGCAUCCCUAGGGACUAGGUUGGCCCAAUAACCAACCUGGACUAGUAAGGGGUGCAACCAGGAUGUAUACGGGGCGGGCCACACCUUCCGCCCCAUUUUCUUGGCGUGCCGAGGCGGAUUCGAGGCGACUUGAAUUUUUUUUCUAUUUUUUAACCCCACUUACCACUUCAUUCCGGACAGAUCUGGAUGGAAGCAGAUUCUUGGUGGAUCAGGAUGGAUCAAAAAUGAAAAAAAGUCCUCCACAAUUUGCUCCAUGUUUUAGUGGAUCGGGACGGACUGGGGAUAGAUUUUUUUUUUUAUCUUAUUUUUGACUCUCACUUACUGCCAUAUUCAGGAUGAAUCGGCGUGAAAUUUCCAUCAAUUUGGAUCCAUUUGCAUCCCUAGGGAUUGGGUUGGCCCAAUAGCCCACCCCACAAAGUAUCUCAACCCUUUAGGCCAGUAUCACUGGCAAAUGCCACAGCAUCUCAUUGAUCUCUGACAACAGUAACCACUACACUGAGACUUUGUUAGCAAUAUAUAAGGCCUGUUGGGCCCAACUUUAGCUUCUAUUGUGACAAAAGAGUUUUUUUUUUUUUUUUUUUUUUUUUCAAAAGCAAAAAAGCAAACUACAGGCUCCUAUUUAAGUGUAAAAAGAAUAAACCGGGGAUUCGCAAAAUGCUUAUCUUGAUAAUGCCAUAGUAUCCAAAUAACACUUCAUCAAAUAGUUUUACUGCUUACAACAGAGCCAAAGAUGCAUGUAAUAAAGUGCUAAAGUAAAAUCACAUCAACUAAGAACAAUUUUUGUAUUUAUAACAAUGUUGAUAUUAAAUAAUUAAAUUUAAAAAAUUUAAUAACAAAGUGGUCGUGCCGGAGUGGUUAUCGGGCAUGACUAGAAAUCAUGUGGGCUCUGCCCGCGCAGGUUCGAAUCCUGCCGACCACGUUUUUUUUUUUUUUUUUUUUUUUUUUUUUUUUUUUUUUUUUUUUUCCAGAACUUCACUUCAUUGAAUGUAACAAUUUUUACAUCUCUCCUCCCUUUUUGGAAUAUCAUUUGUGCUUUUGCGUCUUUUUAAUCUUUUACUUUAUACCCAUCAGGCUUAAUUAGUAUGUACUAAAUUUCCUUUCUGUUGAGUUUAAUUUGUAUUUUAUUAUGUUUUCUCCUCUUUCGAGGUGAUCAAAUUUAGUUGUUUAUUGAGCUUCAAUAUUAUUACUACUCCAUUAUAUUUACUUUUCUUUUCUCUUGUUUCUCCCAAACUUUGAUCCACUUCUGUAUUAUUUGUGAUUCCGUGCCUUUUUAAUCUUUUGAUUUAGGGGCUUUUGCUUUAACAUCCCUCGCUACUAUUUAAAUAUUUUAAAUUUACCUAUUUAUUUCCAAAAUGUCUUUCCAAACUCCAAAUCUUAUUAAUAAAUGCUAGGGUUAAGGAUAUUUGAAGGAAUUUUGAGAAAUCAAUAAAAAUAUUUUGGUCGGUUAAAAAAUAUAUUAUAUAUUUUUAAAGUUUUGAAAAGUACUUAAAAUAUUAUUCAUUUGUUUUAUGCCUAUAUGUUCCGCUCAAGUUCUAUUAGAAUUAUAUUCAACUGAAUUUAAUAUGAAUCCUAACCCAACAAAAAGUUUUGAAUCCAACCAAGCCAUGUUUUCUCAUGUUUUUACUUAAAUUUAAUUUAGUUUCCAUUCCAAGUGAUUCAAGGUUGUACUAUGCGGGCUGUUUGUUUUUAUGGAGUUCGGAGGUUGAACUCAUGGUUUCAAAAAAAUCGAUGGCGUCGACAUUUUUCGCUGUGUUGAGAUUCUGAGAUCACCUAAAUUUUCAUUUAGAAUUGUAGAGAGAACUACCUUCCGACUUCGAUGGGAUGGAGAGUGAAAUCAAGUUUGUGAAACCUAUGUAUUUCUUGUUUUUCAACCUUCUGCUUCUGAAGAGCAUGUGAGAUAAUUAAAUUUCGAAUUUAAAAUCUUAAGUACUAAGGGCCUGUUAAGCUUAGCUUCUGAAAAAGUGAUUUCCGAAAAAGUGAUUUUGGUUGGUAGAAGUGAUUUUGGUUAAAAGCUGUAGAGCGUUUGGCUGAGUUUAGAUAAAAGCGAUUUUUCUGAAGUGAGUUUGAAAAGCUAUUUGGCAAAAUUUUUUUAAUAUUUGCAUAAAUUAAUAUUUUUAUUAAAUUUUAUUUUAAAAUAAUUUAAAAUCUAAAUUUAAAUUUGAAUUAAAAUUAAAAAUUUUAAAUUUCAAAAUUGUAAAAAAUUUAAAAAUUUUAUAUUUUAAUUUAAAAAAUAAUUUAAAAUUUUAAAAAUUUAAAAUUUAAAAUAAUUAUGAAAUUUAAAAUUUUAUAUAAUUAAAAAUAUAUAGUUCAAAUAAAAUAAAAUUUAAAUUUAUAUGUAAAUUUGAAAUUUAAAAAAUUAAAUUAAAAAUUAAAAAUUAAAAAUUAAAAAUUUAAAAUUAAAAUUUAAAAAUAUAAAUAAUUAUAAAUUAAAAUAUAAAAUUUAAUAUUUAAAAAAUAUAUUUAAAUUAAAAUUUAAAUUUAAAAUUUAAAAUAAUUAUGAAAUUUAAAUUUCAAAUUAAAUUUAAAAUUAGAAUAUUUAAAUUAAAAUUUAAAAUUUAAAAUUUUAAAAUUUGAUUAUAAUUAAGAUUAAAAAUUAUAAUUAAAAUUUUAAAUUUAAAUUUUUAAAUUAAAUUUAAAAUCUAAAAGUCAACUUUAAAAUUUAUCUUAAAUUUGAAAUUUGAAAUUAAAAUUUAAAAAUUCAAAAAUAAAUCUGAAAAUUAAAUUUUAAAAUUAAAUUUAAAUUUAAAUAUUGAAUUUAAAAUAAAAAUAAAAAUUUGAAGUUUGAGUCCAAAAUCAGAAUCGGAUUUCAAGAAGCAGUUUUUUUCUGCUUCUGAUUCUGGGGCCUUCGAAAUCAGUUUUCUGAUUCUAAAAAAUAAAAUCAGAUUUUAAAAGUGAUGUUGCCAAACGCUCUAUUAAGCCAAAAAUUAUUUUUCAACCAAAAAACGCUUUUUAAAAGUUAAGCCAAACACCCACUAAUUAUUAUGUCUUUUGUCAUUUGUGCUAGAGACGAUAAGUUGUUAUGCUCUUUUUAUUAUUUUUAGAAUAUCAUAAAGAGUGCUGUUGCAAGUAUCUAAAAUACAUCCUGCAAUACUCGUGAUAACAUGUCAAUGUCAUUAUUAUACUUUAAAUAUUAAUUAUUAAACUCUAAAUAUCAUUAUCAAACUGUAACCAACGUUAUUAUUAUAUACCCUAAUUCUAAACCUUAAUUUUUUUCCAUGUGUUAGCCAACACAUCUAUACCACUAUACCUAUAUAUUAUUCUUUCUAAAUUUGUCAUAUGAUAAUAUUUUUUUCAUUAUUGGAUGUGGGCUCCUUUCCGAACCGACUCACGUCCUUCACAUUUUUUUUCUUUUUUUAUUUAAACCGAAUCGAAUUUUUCUCUUUAUUUACUUGAACUGAACUAAUUAUUAUUAAGCGUGAGCUUCUAUGACCCGGCUCAUAUCCUCUACAUAUUUUUCUCUUUUUUUGUUUAAAUCAAACCGAGCUUUUCUUUUUUUUUUUAUUUGAACCGAAUCAGAUCACACUUCUGUAUUGGACUGAACUGUUAUUUUUCCACUUUUUUCAACCGUUACUUUUCUUCAUAGGCAAGAUAAAUCCCACAUCUUGUCCUCACCUUUUUCAUUGCUGUUUUUUUUUUCUUUAUCUAUAUUUUUUAUUUUUUUUAAUUAUUUAUCCGUCACAUCGUAUUGUUCCCAAAGUGUGGGUCCCAAAGCAUUCUCUGUAAUAAAUUAUAUAAAAAAAAAGGACGAAGAAGCGUGGUGCAGUCUUCUUAGCAACUAGCAAGCCUAUUUUUUCCAACCGAGCAGCCGCCAAUCCGACCUGUAAAGCAGCCUGCAUUCACACGGCUUGACCGGCGUAUCAGAUCCAGUCCAGAUACAGAGGUGCAGACCAACGACUUUGAAAUCCAGCCGGUUCGGUCAAGCAGAUAAAACCAAAAUAGUCGACUGGCUUUGUCGGCGUGUGAGAGGGUACCAUUAGUCUUUUUCUAGAAUCAUGAGAGCGAUUUUCAAUCACCACACACAAGUAAAAAAUUGCUUUGGAUUCUCCGAAGAAAAUAAAUUAAUAAAGAAAAAUUUUUAAGUAUCAUUCCUGUAGUUUUGUAUUUUCUCGCUUUAAUACUAUAUGAUUUAAAGUGUAUCACUUUCGUACGUACCCUGUGUUUUUAUUUUUUAUUUUUUUUGUUAUUCCCUCCACUAAUUUUUUUGUUAAUUAAUACGCGACAAAGUUAAAACUAAAAGGUAUUAAAGUAAAUAUUCGAUAAACUAUAGAUAGGAUAUCUGAAGUUUUUUGUAUUUGAUUUAACGAAAAAUUAACGAAUGGGCUGACAAAAAAGAAAAAAAAAUGAAAUAAUAUGAUACUAAAUUAAUACACUUUAAAUCAUAGGAUAUUAAAGUAAAAAAAUAUGAAAUCACGGGAAUGGUACUUGAAGUUUACUUAUAAAUAAAUAAAUAAGUGAAAUGUUGUUUGUACAUCCAACGUAGGGGCGCAAAUUUUAGGGAUUAGGGUUCCUGUUUGAGAAUUUAAAUACUAUUUUUAAAUUUUUAAUAUUAAAAAAGAUUGAUGAGAUUUGUGCGAAAAUAUUGACCUUUAAAUGAAGAAGUUGUCAGAUUUAAUUGAACAAUUUGUUUUGAGUGUANUUAAAUUUUAAAAUCUAAAAUGUCAAAUUUUAAAAUUUAUCUUAAAUUUGAAAUUUGAAAUUUAAAAUUUAAAAUUUUAAAAUCUAAAAUUUGAGAUUUGAAAUUUAAAAUUAAAAUUUAAAAUUUAAAGUUUGAAAUCUAGUUUUCAAAUUUAAAAAUUUAAAAAUUUAAAAAUGAAUUUGAAAAUUAAAUUUUAAAUUUAAAUUUAAAUUUAAAUUUUGAAUUUAAAAUAAAAAUAAAAAUUUGAAGUUUGAGUCCAAAAUCAGAAUCGGAUUUCAAGAAGCAGUUUUUUUCUGCUUCUGAUUCUAGAGCCUUCAAAAUCAAUUUUCUGAUUCUAAAAAAUAAAAUCAGAUUUUAAAAGUGAUGUUGCCAAACGCUCUAUUAAGCCGAAAAUCACUUUUCAACCAAAAAACACUUUUAAAAAGUUAGGCAAACACCCACUAAUUGUUAUGUCUUUUGUCAUUUGUCCUAGAGACGAUAAGUUGUUAUGCUCUUUUUAUUAUUUUUAGAAUAUCAUAAAGAGUGCUGUUGCAAGUAUCUAAAAUACAUCCUGCAAUACUCGUGACAACAUGUCAAUGCCAUUAUUAUACUUUAAAUAUUAAUUAUUAAACUCUAAAUAUCAUUAUCAAACUGUAACUAACGUUAUUAUUAUAUACCCUAAUUCUAAACCUUAAUUUUUUUGCAUGUGUUAGCCAACACAGCUAUACCCUUAUACCUAUAUAUUAUUCUUUCUAAAUUUGCCAUAUGAUAACAUUCUUUUUAUUAUUAGGUGUGGGCUUCUUUCUGAACCGACUCACGGCCUUCAUAUUUUUUUUUUCUUUUUUACUUAAAUCGAAUUAAAUUUUUCUCUUUAUUUGUUUGAACUGAACUAAUUAUUGUUGAGCGUGAGCUUCUCCGACCCGGCUCAUAUCCUCUACAUAUUUUUCUCUUUUUUUGUUUAAAUCAAACCGAGCUUUUCUUAUUUUUUUUGUUUGAACCAAAUCAGAUCACACCUCUGCAUUAGGCUGAACUGUUCCUUUUCCACUUGUUUCAACCGUUAUCUUUCUUCAUAGACAAGAUGAAUCCCACCUCUUGUCAUCACCUUUUUUUUAUCGCUAUUUUUUUUUCUUUAUCUAUAUUUUUUUAUUUUUUUCUAAUUAUUUAUCCGUCACAUCGUAUUGUUCCAAAGUGUGGGUCCCAAAGCAUUCUCUGUAAUAAAUUAUAUAAAAAAAAAAGGACGAAGAAGCGUGGUGCAGUCUUCUUAGCAACUAGCAAGCCUAUUUUUUCCAACCGAGCAGCCGCCAAUCCGACCUGUAAAGCAGCCGGCAUUCACACGGCUUGACCGGCGUAUCAGAUCCAGUCCAGAUACAGAUGUGCAGACCAACGACUUUGAAAUCCAGCCGGUUCGGUCAAGCAGAUAAAACCAAAAUAGUCGACUGGCUUUGUCGGCGUGUGAGAGGGUACCGAUAGUCUUUUUCUAGAAUCAUGAGAGCGAUUUUCAAUCACCACACACAAGGAAAAAAUUGCUUUGGAUUCUCCAAAGAAAAUAAAUAAAUAAAGAAAAAUUUUCAAGUAUCAUUCCUGUAGUUUUGUAUUUUCUCGCUUUAGUACUAUGUGAUUUAAAGUGUAUCACUUUCGUACGUACCUUAUGUUUUUAUUUUUUAUUUUUUUUGUUAUUCCCUCCACUAAUUUUUUUCGUUAAAUACGCGACAAAGUUAAAACUAAAGGGUAUUAAAGUAAAUAUUCGAUAAACUAUAUGUAGAGUAUCUGAAGUUUUUUGUAUUUGAUUUAACGAAAAAUUAAUGAAUGGGCUGACAAAAAGGAAAAAAAAAAAUGAAAUAAUAUGAUACUAAAUUAAUACACUUUAAAUCAUAGGAUGUUAAAGUGAAAAAGUAUGAAAUCACGGAAAUGGUAUUUGAAGUUUACCCAUAAAUAAAUAAAUAAAUGAAAUGUUGUUUGUACAUCCAACGUAGGGGCGCAAAUUUUAGGGAUUAGGGUUCCUGUUUGAGAAUUUAAAUACUAUUCUUAAAUUUUUAAUAUUAAAAAAGAUUGAUGAGAUUUGUGCGAAAAUAUUGACCUUUAAAUGAAGAAGUUGUCAGAUUUAAUUGAACAAUUUGUUUUGAGUGUACAUAUAGUAUUUUUCAAAAUGCAACAUGGUAUCAGAGGAUCGAGGAGACUCUAAGUUCUAGUCCAAUCACACUUAUAACGUUAUUUAAUUUUUUUCAAUUUAAUUUAAGUCCACGUCUUUAGCCCAAAUCUGAAUGAGAGGAUAUUAAAGAUAAAUAAUUAUCAAAAAUAAUAAUUAUUAAAAAUAUCAUUCUUUAAUAACUUAAACUUUUGAAAAAAUGGUUAUUUCAUAUAAUUCAACAUGGUAAUCGAAUCCUUUUAAUAUUAUUAAUUUUCUCUGAUUUAAUUCAAGGCAAUCAUAAUUUAACAGUAGUGCUAUUGAAUAUAAUCUCAAAGUAAUUCUAUUAUGCUGCACAAAAUAGUGAAAAGCCUAAUUAAUCAUGAAUAAUAUAACAAUUUGAAUUGUUAAGGAAAUAGUUCUUAUAUUUUUUGUAGCAUACAUAUAGAUCCACAAUCCAAUGUUAUUUUUGUAUAGAAUAAUUGCAACAGAAAAAACCUAUUUUCCCAUAGGAUCUCCUAUAAUCUACUCUUUAUCAUCAUGUAGCCUACAUUAUAUCACCCUGUCACUUGGUCAAACUAUCAAUACUACUUAUAAAAACAAAUAAGGGCGUGUUUGGUUCGAAGUCGGAAUUGGAAUCGCAAUCGGAAUCAAAAUAAGCUGGAAUCGGAAUCGGAAUGGCUCAUUACCUAAUUCCGUUUGGUUCAUCAUCUGAAUCGGAAUCGGAAUAAAUCAUUCCUAUUGUUGGUGUUUGGUUCAGGUGGAUAUAAAUAAAAAACGUAAUCAAAUUAAUAUACGAACAUUAUCUUUAUAAUAUAUUAAUUUAAAUUCAAAUUAAAUAUUAAAUAUUAAAAAUUUACAUCAAAAUUUUUAAAUAAUAUCAAAUUUUUAAAUCUAUUUUUUUAAAAUAAAUUAAUCUUUGAAGUUGAGUGGAUAAUUCAAAAUAUGAAACUAAAAUUUUAUUUAUUCAAAUUCAAAUUUAAAAUUACAAUUUAAAUUUUAAUUUGAAUCCAUAAAUUUAAUUUAAGUUUGAAAUAAAAUUUGAAUAAACUUCAUAUAAAUUAAAAUUUAAUUUAAAUUCAAAUUCAUAAGUUAGAUUCAAAAUACUUGAUUAAAUUUUAAUUUUUAAUUUAAGUUCAAAUUAAAAUUUAAAAUUAUAUAUUUAAUUUUUAAAAUUUAACUUAUAUUUUAAUUUAAAAAGUUGAAAAAAUAAAUUUAAUCCGAAUAAAUAUCCAUUCCGUCCGGAUUCAACUUUCAAUCCGGCCUCCUAGGCCGGAUUGAAAAAAGGGAUGAUUGAGGCAUUCCCAUUCCACUCGGGAAUCGGAAUCGGAAUGGGACUCCCGCGUACCAAACACCCACAAACGGAUUCACCCAUUCCGAUUCCGAUUCCAUGGUGAAAAAGAGGCGAACCAAACACGCCCUAAAGUUAUAAAAUAAUUAAGUAUAAUUUUUAAGCUAUAUGGGAGAAAAGUAAAAAUCUAUUAAACCGCAAGGGUGCAAAUUGAAAUUUGCCAUACUCUUUACAGGAGAAGUACUACUGAUACAAGGAUGUACAUCUUACGCUCUCUUUAUUCAAGAGUCAAGACCCGUCAUUUUUUUACUUCGAGAAUCCUAAAAUAAGGAGCGUAAGAUAUGCAUGCACCCAUGUUGAGAUGUACAAAUAGAUUUAUUUUCUUUACAGUGUCGAGUGCACCAGCGGUGGUCACCAAACUUAAACUAAAUUUUUAGUUUAGUCCCAAAGCCGAUACCCGCCAUCGUCAAAGUCGUCCUCCACAUUUGCGAUCGACCAUCGCAAACCUUGCGUACGUUGCUUACUAUUUCUUUCGGUGCAUUUGGCACAUUGGCUCCACCUGGGUGAGCCCCAGAUUGACCAUAAGCUAACAGAUCAUGAACGCAGUAUGUAUGAGCGCGAGACUUCGUUGGAGUUGAUGUAACAUAUUUUGUCAAAAUGUAAUCAAAUUUGAACUAAUGGAACCUAAUUGAUUAAAUGAAAAUAAAAAAAAUAAAAUCGUACAUAGUUCAGGUGCCCAGUCUUUUAAAAUUUGGAUUUUACUUUCCAAUCUUUCAAUUUUUUUGAUUUGUGUCAGUGAACAGUAAUUUGACUUAAUUUAAAUGCGUUAUUUAUUUUUACAGACUUAGUUAGUAUAAUUCAUGCAAUUAAUUCUCGCACCUGCAAAUUUAUUAAAAUAAACAAUUAUCUUGAAUUUCAAAGUCAAAAUAUAAUCAAAAAAUUAAGUAAUAAAAUUAAAAUUUUAAACAAAAAUAUUGCUGCAAUUAAUCCUAAGCCACCGUUUGGUUCGGGAUUAAAUAAAAAUUUAUUAUUUCAGGGAUAGAGUUAAGUUCUGGAUUAAGGUGGGGUUAGAGCAAUUUUGUGUUUGGUUGAAAAUUAGGUUUAAUCCAGAUAUAAAUAAAAUAGUGUUUGAUUUUAAUAUAUGGGAUAAGAAGGAUAGUCGGUAAAAUAGUGUUUUGUUUGAUUGGAGUAGUGGGAUGAGGUAGGGUUAGCUAACCCCGCCUCCCAAAUUGAAUGUUUUGAAAUAACUUCGGGAUCAAAGAAUUAUUCCACCCUUAAUUCCGAACCAAACUGGUGCUAAAGAAAAAAUUUAACUACAGAGGCAACUGCUCCAGUUGCGGCCGCCGCGGAGUUGACCGUUGACUCGACCGCGCACAGCCUCGCGCGCACGUGCUCAGAACCCCGGGGCGGUCUUUUGGUGGGCCACCCCUUGUCGGGCCAAUUAGACACGUUCCUCCGCACGUGCGUACGACCUCCUCUUUUCCUCCUCCGCCGAAGUGACGAGUUCCACCACGCCAACGCCUUUUCGUUGCGCGGAGGAGUUAAGAAACCAAGGAGAAGUAAAAAAGGAGCACCAAAAAAAAAAAAAAAGGUCUCUCUCUAUAUAGAAGUCGGAAAUGGAGUUUACAGCGCGGAGGAAGUCGAGUUCCGCAGCCGAAGUCGCGUCGGUGACCGUCACCGCGCGCGUGGGUGGUUUACAUGCGCCGUAAAAGCUCGGAAAACCGGGGGGUCGCAGCUUGGGCUGUCAACGAUCGAGGUCCCAUAAGUGGCCAGAUACGGUGCUGCUCGUUUUCGCUCGUUUAUUAAAUAAUAAAUAAAUAAAUCGAAUGCGAGCUAAUUUGUCGAAUUAUCAAAAUAAAAAAUUUCAGUUUUCGUAGACAGUAAGUUUGAUUGUCAGUUCUGCUGCUACUGAGUGAAAAGUUGAAAAUAAGUUCAAAAAUUAAAAUUUUAAUCUAAUAAUUAAAAUUUCAAAAUAUAGGUAUCUUUUUAUUUAAAUUGGUCUAAAAUUUAAAUAAUAUAUACAUAGAGAGAACUAAGCUAUUAUACUAUUAAUAGAACUAAGCGCUUUGUGCUAUUAGGUUUUCGACCCUUAGAUGAAGAGAUAUAUAUGCGGUUAGGAAGAUAGUGAUUCCCAAUUAGAAUGAUAGUAGUCUCCUAUGAUUGAGUGGGUGGUUGAUUGAAUAGUGUGAUCUAACGGAUAUAAAUGAUCAAAUGAGUAGAUCUAACAGCGAAAAAAUUAAUAGCAAUAAGUCAUUGGUGCUAUUAGGUUUAUUAUUAUACUAUUAAUAGCACCAAGUUAUUGGUGCUAUUAGGUUUUCGACCUUUAGAUGAAAGGAUGUGCAGUUAGGAUGAUAGUGGUUUCCCAAGGUUCAGUGAAUGAUUGGUUGAUCAUCUAACAAGUGAAAAUGGUCAGAGAGGUAAAUCUAAUGGCGAAAACUCGAUAGCACCAAGCGCUUGGUGCUAUUGAUUCUCUCUCUCUCUCUCUCUCUCUCUCUCUCUAUAUAUAUAUAUAUAUUAAGCUCUUAUGCAUUUAAAAGUACCAAGUUAUUCGUGCAUGUACAUUUUUGCCAUUUGGAUUAAGAAAUGUGUGGAUGAUAGUAGUUUUUUAGGGUUGAGUGAGUGAUUAGUUAAAUAGUAUGAUCUAACGGAUAAAAAUGGUCCAAGGGAUACAUCUAACAGCCGAUCGAUGAUGUAAAUAAUAUCGAUUACUAGGUAAAUGAUAUUAAAAAUACUUAUGAUCACUAGAUAAAUGAUGUUGAAAAUCUGCAAAAAUUAUUUUUCAAAUACUUCAAAUACGCUAGAUCAAGUCUAACGGAGCCAAUUGUCAAUUCGAAAGUCCCAUCAUUGAAAGCGGCUUUAUAUCAUCCAGAACACAUGAUAAUUCUCGUGCCUCCAGAGGCAUGAGAANUAUAUAUAUAUAUAUAUAUAUAUAUAUAUAUAUAUAUAUUUGUUCGAGCUAUAUCGAGCCGAAUUUGAGUGAACUGAUUCCUUACCCGUGUUCGGCUCGCUAAGAUUUCGAACUUAAGAAAUUAGCGCAUAGUCGACUUAUUUAUUAAACGAACGAUCGCCCUCAAACUCAUUUCCUGUCGACCAUGAAUUGACUCGCAAACAGCGAGUUGAAUUGCUAGCCCUACUUUGAGACGGCGUAAAUAGCGCAUUCGUCCCUGAACUUUUAGUCAAGUUUUUUAUGUGGUUCUCGAUAUUUUGAAAAAUAUUUUAUAAGAAAUUACUGCCUACAGUUGUUGACAUUCUCAGACGCGCUCCAUCCGUCUCAUACGUCUCAAUAGUUUGAAUUUUAAGCAUGAAAAAGGUUGCAACUCUGUGGAUAAUAGGAUUGCAACAUGAUACCCUAAAUUCUAGAGAGAAUAAAUGCGCGGUGUGUGUCACUGCAACUGCUUUAAUUUUUUGGCAUUUUAUUUUUCUGCAUCAGUAAAUAAAAGAUGAAAACUAAAGAAAAAUAUAUUCUUUCACCAGAUUAUAUUUGUAAAUUGUAUUUUGUUAUAAGUUCUAGCUAAAAUUUUCUACACUUUUAUAUAUAAUCAAGUCACUCAGUACAGUAUAGUUGACUUAAAAGUGGCGUAUACAUAACUGUAAUAUGGUAGUGUUAGAAUUGAUCAUGUAGCAUUGUGUGAACUGCAGGGCAUGUCACUGUCGCAUCAACUACACAUCAUCAUUAUUCAACAAGCUAAAUUGGAAUGCGAGACUAAAUUGCUUAUAACAUUCUUGAAAAUUGAGCCAAUAAUUAUAAUAAAUUAAAGUUUGAGAAUCAAAGUGUCUUAGCGUCUUUGUUUCAUAGCUUGUCGAUGAAAAUAGUAAUUCAACUCUAUAUAUUUAUAAGAGUUAUAGGAUAUCAAAGUUUGAGAACUGAAAGUGAAACUUAGACCGAAGUUUGGGGACGGGUAGUACAAUUUAUCCAUUUGAGAAAUGAGAAUAAACAACUGACCGUCUCUAGCGCGCAAGUGGCAAAGAACUUGGUGGUUGGUAUCCGAGGUCCCAAAUUCGAAUCCUAGUUGAUUCACAUUUCUAGCUAAGCUUAUUUCUAAAUGAAAUAAACGAAGCGGGUAGCAUGCUAUCUAUCUCUCAUUAAAAAAAAAAAGAAAAAAGAAAUGAGAAUAAACUUUUCAAACUUCAGGGAUGGAGAAAUUGGGAGCACUUGAGAUCCAGAGACUCAUAAGCUUGAAUCAAGUUUGAAUAUUUCCUACAGCCUCCAUCUUAUCUGAAUUUUUUUAAAGAUUAUAUAAUCAAGUCCCUUGAUAUUGACUUGGCCUUUUAUAAACUUACACAAAGCACUUUUGUUUGCAAUCACAUAUAUAUAUAUAUAUAUAUAUACUUGACAUUUUCCUGGGGAACAUUAAACUCUGGGCUGGUAUAACUAAACUCAAAUUGGUAUAUAUCCUUCCAAUUAGGAUACAUAAAUAUCUUUGACUCUGUCUAUUCCGUGCAACCGUCGUAAUUUAUUUAUUAGUAUAACUCUUGAUUGACCAGCUCAUGAAAUUUGCAUGAAAAGUCACCAACUGUUAGAUCGGUUAUUGAGUGUUUUGCAUUAGAAACGAUUGAGUUAUUACAGAAACUACUAUUGCCCCACGACUCAAACAUGCUGACCUACUUUCACUAAUAAGCGAAAAAUCUAACAUGAGAAAUGAAUGAGUCUAUUUAUGCGUUUUUAUUAAUAGAGAGCACUUGAUUGACCAGAUCGUGAAACCUGCAUAAGAAGUCUCCAUUUGCUAGCUAGGUCGGCUAUUAGAUAUCUUAGAUUAAAAUUCAUUAGAGAAAUGAAACUAAUAUACUAUAUAUUGCACUACAACUCAAAUAGAGUGACCUACUUUCACCAAAAAGCGAAAAAUCUAACAUAAGAAAUGUAUGAUUCUAUUUGUGCCUUAACAUCUUAAGCUUAUUUUUAGACCAAGCUUGUAAUUCCUAAUAUUAUAUUUGGUUAGGACGGAAUUCAACUUCAACAUUAGAAGAAAAACAAGCAACAUGACCAAUGAGGAGAAGGAAAUCUAAGUUGAAUACAUGUAGCACAAGUACAAGUUUGAUCCUACCUCUAUUUUUAAAACUCCCAAGUUCAUUGAAUGGAUAGGGGGGGAGGUUGGUUAGCAUUUCCAUAUGUUUUCCACUUUAAACUAGUAUGCAAUUUUAGAAUAAUUUUUACCUGAGUAGGUAAACUAGUGAUCAAAACAGUAUCAUCUAACUGUAGAUCUCUUAAAUUAUAUGGAAGCACAUACGGACUUGAAAUUUUUUAAUAGAGCCAUAACGUGAACUUGAAUUAAAAGGGCGAAAAUCGAUAACGCUAUAAGCCUGACGUGAAACCUCCUACUUUGAUAUUAUAUUAAAUUAUAUAAAAUAACCGUCAUUCUCCAAAAAAAUUAAGUUAUCAGUAUUUUUAAUACUUAUAUCUAUAUUUAGAGUUAAUUUUAAAUCUUUUGUUUUGUGAGGUCGUAAGUGAGUUUAAUCCCCAUCUUUGACAUUUAACGGGUCCCAACCUUCUGGACUCAUUUUUUAUUAAAUCGAUUUUUUUGGUAACAAAAUCAAACUUAUAUAUUUCUGGAUCUGUUUAAUUUCUACUAAAUCGAUUCUUUGGAUAACGAGAUCAAACAAAUGACAAUAAAUUCCUCUUAAACAGUAACUGUGAAAAUCUGAAGGUAUUCUGAAAACCUUAUUAUAUAUCCUGCAGUAAAUAGCCACUAAUUUCAUUCAAAGUACCCAAAAGCAAUCUCGAAUCAAAGAGAUGUGAGCAAUGAUUUUAGAAUCUAAAAUGAUUCUUGGAGUUUAUACUGAAUAUAGAUAAAGAACUAAUUAAGUACAGGAUAAAGAACUUAAGUAUAGGAUCUUCUCUAACACUAAAGUCCCUGUAUAUCAUAGUCAAUAUUAAUUGCAGCAUAUAUAUAUAUAUCAGGGUUUGAGUCCCCAUUAUCAGGCCAGUAAUGUUGUACCUGCAGUAAACCAAAACUAAUUGCUAAGAAACCGAAUAAACUCUAAUGGUAUGGUUUUGAUCUCGAAUUAAAACCACACAUGUUAUGCUAAUCCAUUUGCUCAAAUUCAUGUUUUUCCACAUUAAUUAUACCCAUUUGAUACAUGUAAUUAAUAGAGCAUUAAAUUCUAAUGAAUUCUUCUUAUGAGAACACCGAACACUUCACCAGUUUUGCUUCUUUGUGACAUCUUCAAUAGCUCCACUAGAAAAACCUUUUUUUUUUUUAAUAGCUUAAAUCAUAUCCAAUGAAAUGUUUAUAAUUCAAAAGGGGCUCUCCCUACUAUCUCAAACUCAGCAAUUAAGAAAUCAAACACAUUAUUUCCUCCUCAGGAAACCAAAUUUUAUAUCUUUGGUGCUAACAUAACAUAUAUACAUACAAUUAAUUUAGCCAUCUCUUCAUCACAUUGGAAGAGCAUAGCCAACCCAAAACAAAUGAUGGGAAUCGGAAAAAAGGAAAAUUAAUAGAAAGAAAAUGGAAAAAAAAAAGAAGCACAAGCUCCUCUAAAUAUUCCUAGUUAAGGAGGAGGAGGGGACAGCUGAAGAAUCCUCCCCGAAAUCGCCGUCGCGAGCGCGGCCUUAAACCCGGGAUCCUUCGUCAACGACAGCGCCAUUUGCUCGACCAAGCUCUUAUUGAUCUCCUGCAUCUCCUUCUCCUUCCUCGGCUCCGGUCGGACGAGAUCGAGCGCAGCGUUAUUCGAGCCAUUCGAGCCGACGACUGCACCGCUGUGGCCGCGAACCGAGCCGUUGCUGUGCCCUUCGUGCGGCGGAGCGGGGCGGCCGUGGUUGUGCUCGCCUUCGUACGUCGCGACUAAGAUCGACGUGUCCUCCGCGCUUCUUUGCACCUGAUUAUAUUGCACAGAUGAGCGUUCGGUUAGAUGCAAUCAUUAUAUUUCCUUGUUCCUUCAAGCACAACAUAAAAGACAAUCAGUUUCGAUAUCCAUUUAUCCUUACUUUCUUCUUAACUUGGCAAGACGGGGCGAACGAGCAUCUAAAAUAAGCUCUUGGGCACGGAUUAUCUCUCGUCACCUUUUGCCCGUAUUUUCUCCACUGGUACCCAUCUUUCACGACCUAAAUACAAUAACAGCAUUAGUGACUGAGCUUGUAGAUCAUGCAAAACUUUCAGAUAGGCGGAAAAAUUGGAAAAAAAAAAAAAAAUACAAAGUAAGGAAUUGAAACUCACAAGGCUUAAAUCCGAAGGAUCGGUGCGGACGUAGACCUUCGCGAUCUUCGGCUUGCACUCCUCCCUUAUUCGCUUGCACGAGUCUUCGCUGGAGGUGCACUCCAUUUGAUUCGCGACGUAGUUCAUCGUCGUCGUCGUCGCGGGGGGGUUUGUCGCGGCCUCGACCUUCCUCUUCCUCGACGGCGAGACCGACCCUCCGUCGGAGGAGGAGGUGGCCAUCAAAUCAUGCAGCUGGCUCUGCAGCGUCGCGUACUUCGCGACCACGGUCGCGAGCAUUUCGUUGAGCCUCUUGUUCUCUUCGCUCACCCGAUUCAGCUCCGCCUCGAGAGCUCCGAUCUAAUAUAUACAUAUCAGAUAAUUAGAACAACAUAUCUAACUAAUUAAGCAUGCUCGCGAAGAAGAAAGGAGCUUAAUUAAUUACAUAUUUACAUGUACCUCUUCAUCUUUCAUCACCAAGAACUUGUCCUCCACCACAUGCUUGGGAUUAUUUGAGAGCACCCCUUUCUGAUGACAUCAAUAACAAACAAAAAAGGAAAAAAUUAAUCAAUCAAUCCAUCAAUAAAAUUGAUUCUCCUCUUCUUUAACUACUCGGUUGCUCAAAAUGGAUCAUGAGCAUGGAUUUCUCGAACUCACCGAGAAGCCGACGUUGAGAUCGAGAUCGAGCGACGAAUGGUUAAUCCAUGCCGAACCCAUAACCAGCGGGGGCGAAUUCAAAUUAAGUUGGAUAUCUAUUAAUUUGAAAAGAAGGAGAAGGAGAAGGAGAAGAAGAAGAAGAAGAAGAGAAGAGUUUGAGAGAAGGAGAGAGUAUAUUGGGGGUGUAUAUAUAGAGCCCAAUUGAGAGAAGNAAGGGGGGAAAGGGUAAGAGAUGGAAAACUGUGACACAUGCAUCAUCCUGGAAACGUCAGGAAAUCACUGUCACAAGCAAAAGAAAAAGAAAAGAAAAGAAAAUAAAAUAAAGUGGUUUUUUUAAGAAGCGAAAAAAAAAAGGGGGGGAGGGGGGAUAGGUAUGGGGAUGGUGCCAUGUCGGUCACCACACGGAAGUCGUAGUAUUGGAGAGUUCGAGUCAAGAUAAAACACUGCACCCAAAAAAAGAAAAAAGAAACAAAAAAAAAAAGAAAAAAAAAAGAAGAAAGAAAAGAGAGAGAGAGAAUAGAAGAAAGAUCGAUGAUGCCAAGGAGGAAAAAGACAGGCUGGAGGUGGGGGCCGGGGGGAGGACUAUGGAGGAAGGAGGGAAGACUUCUUGACUUUGUUCUCUUUUGGGAUUUCUGGAAAACUAAAGUAUAUUCCUCCUCCUGCUGGCUUGUUUUUCUGUCCUUCGGUGCCGCCCAAUAAUUUUAUUAUUAUUAUUAUUAUUAUUAAAUAAGUUAAAUCUUAAAAAAAUAAUUAAAUUUAAUAAAAUUUUAAAGUGCUACAAGUGAAAUCAGCUUUGCUAGCCUACUCGUUCCAUCGAAGGUCAAGUUGAGAUUGAAAUUAAAUACUAUAUAUUAAGAAAACUUUAAAUACUAUUUCUAUAGUUUCGCACUUUUCUAUUUAAGUACCUAAUAGUUUAAAAUGUAUCAAUUUAGUAUCUCAUGAUUUUAUUUUAUUUUUUUUAUUAUCCGCUUUACUAAUUAUUUUUUCGUUAAAUCAAUGACAAAGAUAAAACUGAAAGUAUAAAAGUGAAUAUUCGAUAAAUCUACGUGGGUAUCUGAAGUUUUUUUAAAAAAUUGAAACUAUUUGGUUGCUUUCACAUGCUCUCUUAUUCCAACGCUACAAACUGGUGAUGAAAAAUACCACUGAAAACAUAUUGGAUCAAAAAGGAUCGAAAUAUACAGAUUUGGCAAGGUCAGGUAUAUAUACUCAAAACUUACUUAUUCUUUUAUUAAGGAUCAUAUGUGAAAACUUGCUUUUAAUACGGUAGAAAAAUAACCGAUCAUCCCUAGCGCAAGUAAUAAAGGAUUUGAUGAUUGGUACCCGAUAUUUCAAGUUUGAAAUUCAGUUACUUAACAUUUCCAGAUAAGUUUAUUUUUUAAAAAAAUAAACGAAACAGAUAAUUAACGUGUUAUUUUUCCCUCAAAAAAAAAAAGUUACAGAUCUUUAAUAUAUGACAAUUAUGUUUUUUUUUUUUUUUGAAAAAUAGGUAGUAAGCUACCUGCUUCAUUCAUUAAGUAACAUAAAUUUAGCAUACAAAUUGGAAGCAGCUAGGGCCUCUGAACUGAGGAAACGAGAGAAAAACAAGAGAACAAAAAUCAGAUCCGUGCGACUCAGGAAACAAGUGAAAUCCAAACUAAACAAAAAUAGAAAAACAAAGGGCAAAGCGCAGAGCUCGGGAGAGAAUCAAAGUGCUUCGUUCCAGGAGUGAGCAACACAAUACAAUAAGUUUGGAAUAUUUGCAAUUGGAGCUGUCAAACUUGCCCCUCACUCAAAGCAUUGAUUGGUUCCAAAAAAAAAAAAACAAUUGAAAAAAUAAAAAAUAAAAAAGUGGUGGGGCUCCAAAACACACAGCAAACACGUUUAGAUCUAAAACAACUAAAAUAAGAAAAAUUUAAUAUUACAAAUGAGUAGGCGUUACGUGUUGACCAAGUGCUAAUUUAAAUAUAGGGUUGUUUAAUAAGUUUUUAAUUUUAAUAAUAUUACUAAACAAGAAUUCCGUUCUUACCCAAUUUUAUCUAUUUUACGGAGUUGCAAAGUGGAUAAAUAUUGAGAUGCGCGUACAAUGUGACGUACCAGCUCAUUUAUCUCAAAUUUUUUAAUCUAUUUGUAACAAUGGUAAAUUGCAGUGGAUAAAUUGGUUCAAUUUUUAAUGUAAAAGGUUAAGUAAAACAUGCCCAUAGUGUAAGAGGGACUUCAUAAAUCUCAACUACUAAAGAAUAUUAAUAAAAUUUCUAACAACAAUUUCAUAGCUUUUUUUCUAAUUUAUUUCUUUACAACUUUGAGAGGAUAAACACGAUAAGAUUGUUGGAGUCAAAUCUUUUACGACUUAGUGAGCAGACAAUUCCUGUAUAUUGCUGGCGCGAUCAUUUUUUUUAAAAAAUACUUCAUCUUUUACCUAAUCGAAAGUUAACUUUUUUGACUUUUUUGGGAGAAGGUAUAAUUAACUUUUUCAAGAAGUUGCCCCAAAACCUAAUUAAGAAAGAACUUUUGUGCAAUGGAAAUGUUUAGUGCGUUCACAACGUGGCAAAUUAGACCUAUGGGACCAGCUAUGAGCCUAUGACCUUAAAGUCACAGUGAAUGCAUUUCAAAUCAACAAUUUAAGUCUCUCUCUCUCUCUCUCUCUCUCUCUCUCUCUAGAUAAUGCAAGAGCUACAGCAUUAUAAUUUAUUUACUAAAUAAACGAUGUUUAAAAAAAUUAAAAUUUUAUUUCUAAAAACUUCAUAUACCCUAAAUCAUAUUUAACGGUAUAUAUAUAGAAUUAGGCUACUAUACUAUCUAUAGUAUCGGAGCUCCGGUAUUAUAGUCUUAUUUUCGAUUUUAGGGUGUUCAAAUUAACGAUCCACACUGUUAAAUAUGAUUUAGGGUAUAUGAAGUUCUUAGAAAUUUUAGUUUUUUUCGACAUCGUUUACUUAGUAAAUAAAAAUUGUCAAAAUGGACGGUAGAAAUUGAAUAAUCUUUAAAAUUUGAGUAUAGGACUUUUAAAUUCAAGAUCAAGAAUGUUAAUCUUAAUCUAAAUAGUUUAAAGUAUUUUCUAUCAAAAUUUGAAGAAAUUUAAAUUCUUCUACACCGUUAAACUUCAAACUCGUCAUAGUAGCCAUUGAAAAUUGAUAAUUUUGAAAUGAUUUGAUCAUAAAGCUAAUUAUGUCGAAAAAAUAUAAAAUUUUAUUUUUAAAAAUUUUAAAUACUCUAGAUCAGUUUUAACGGUGUGGAUCGCUGAUUUGAAUACCCUAAAAUAAAAAACGAGACUAUAGUAUCGGAACCCCGGUACUAUAGAUAGUAUAGGAGACUAGCUCUCUCUCUCUCUCUCUCUCUAUAUAUAUAUAUAUAUAACAAAAUAAUCCGUGACAUAUAUGAUUCGUACAUAUAUGAUUCGUAUCAUCCAAACGAUGGAUACCAAACUUUUUAUCCAAUUAAUAUUCCUCAUUGCCUAAGGUAACGUACUAUAUUGUGGAAAUUUGAUGUAUGGGAAUUUCUAUGACAACAAAAAAUUUCUCUUUAGUCUUAUAGCAAGUUAAUUAAAAGGUAAAAGUAAAUAGAUACUUAAAUUUUUAAUUUUAGCAAUCAAUUCUAAAUUUCAUCUAAGUAGUUCAAUAAGCUCUCUUCUAAAAUAAAUUUACUAAUUAUAUAGCCAUUUUGAUUGAUGUUGUAAAUAUAAUUCUAUUUAAGAUUUCAAAAAAUAUAUAUUUUUUCCUUCUAUGUUUGAUAGUUAAUAUUCAUGACAGUGCAAAAAUAGGUUACAACAAACUUCAAGUUAUAUUUCUUUUUUUUUUUUACAUGUUUGAAUACAAAAAAAAAUUUUGUUGUGUUUUAAAGCUAUUUUAUGCAAUACAUACAACUAAAAUAAUUAUGUGAUUAAUAAUUUUAAUUAAAGAAAAAAAUUUAUUGAACUAUUUAAUAAAAUCUCAACAGCUAACUACCAAAAUUAAAAAUUUAAAUGACUGUUUACAGAAAAGCUAAAGUUCAUGAGGCCUUUAUACAUUUUUUUUUCCUUAAUUAAAAGCGAUAGUUAUUUUCAAUUCAAAUCAAUAAUUAAAUCAUGAAAUUGAUCCUAAAAUAUAUAUAUAUAUAUAUAUAUAUAUAAAUAUAUAGAUAUACAUAAUAGAGAUGGUCCCAAUGCAUGGGAUUGUUUUAUUCACCGUUGAGACAAAUUUGAAAUUCGUGUUGUGCGAGCGAUGGAUACCAAUAUUUUUUUGAUCAUUAAUUAUUGCCUAAAUGAAAAGUACUUCAUUGCGAAAAUUUGUACAUAUAGUAUUGAAAAAAGUGUAGAUCGAACUCGCUAAUCAAAUUUUGUGCGUUUUUGUGUAUCCCGUGUGUUUUUUACACAUAAACGUCGUACCCACUAGGAUAUUUUGUUCAUUUUUGUGCAAAUUAUAGAAUAUUUUGUUCAUUUUUGUACAAAUUAGGUGCCUCAGUGAGUGUACAAAAGCUCAGGGGCAGUGUUUGAAUUGGAAAUGAUAAAUUGUACCUUUGCUCCUCAAACUACAAGACGCAAUAUUUUGGUCAUUAAAUUUUAAUUUAUUAUAACUUUUAUCUUAUAUUUUCAUUCUAUAAUAUAAUUUAAUUUAGUUCACUAUAUAUUGAUAUAUCGUCCCUAAGAAAAUAUUCUAAAUUUGUGAUUGGUAAUGCAUCAAAAAUUAAAAUGGCAUAACACUUCUACAUCAGCAAUGUAUCAGUAUUUAGUCAACUAAACUGGAUUGUAAAACUUGAUUGUAAUAAUUCUGAAAGUUUAUAACAAAAAUUAAAAUAAGUUAAAAUUUAUUGUGCAAAAUAUCGCCCUAGUCUCAAAGUUUGAGACUAUAUUUGUACUCAAUUUACCUAAUUGGAAACAAAAACAAAGGGCUUAGUUCAACAAAUGGCCUAGCUGAAUUAAGUUAUCGUACGACGAAUCUAAAAUUUUCUUCAUCUCCUUACUGCUACGAAAGAUCGCUGUAAACCACGCUAUACAUGCAUUUUUCACUAGUGUGAAAGGUGCCAAUUAACUAUUCUAUACAGCGGUGCUAAUUCAGUGCAUUUUUUUGUCAUUCAAAUUAUUUAAUGAAAAAGUUAUAGCCAUUGCUCGGAUGCUCAAAGGAUUAAUUGUCUUAUUUUUGCUUAAAUUAACUAAAAUCAAUGAAAUCAACUAAUAAGUGGUAAUGAUAUGUACAAUGUGAUACAUUACUUAGGGUCAAAAUAGGCUGUUUAUAUCAUUUUAUAUUAUAUAAAAGAUAUAAAGGAUGUAACUCUCAUUAGGGUUUUCAAUUUAAGCAAUAACAUGUCUACCCAUCUUAAUAUACCUCUUCACUUAGUUUUUUUAGCAAAACAAUUAAUCCAUUGCAUAACCACGAGCCCAUUGUUUUUUCCUAAUUUAAGUAGCUAUUUUUUAGUGGCUUGUUGCUUGAUCUAUAAUAAGUUCUAUAUAAUAAUCAUGUGAACCAUGUGGGAAACAUGGCUUCUUAAAUUCAUCAUAUUUUAGUUAGAGUUGUUAUGAUUCAUCGUUAUCGGAUAAAGUAUUAUGCUUGUGUCUAUCUUCUAUAGUACUAUAUUAAAGGAAAGUUAGGUCACAUCAGGGAACAAACAAACGAACGACACGUAUCCCUCCAUCUCUCCCUACUCUACUUCAACAAAAUUGCAUGCACACCGACCGUCCCUAAAGCAAGUGGCAAAGGAAUGGAUGGCUGGUACCAUAGUUAGUUAAUUCGGAUUCGACAAAAAUUCGGUAUGGGUAUAAUAUGCAUAAAAUUCGUUUUCUAAUUUUUAAAUUCGUUGAAAAAUUCGGCUUAAAACAUAGAUUCGGUAUAAAAUAUAAAAUAUAAGAUAUAAAAUAUAAGAUAAUCUAUAUUUAAAUAUAAAAAUUAUAUGUUUUUAUUCAUAUUUUCAAUAAUUCGGAAAUAAUUCGCGAGUAAUUCGCGAAUUGUUCGGCUGGCCAAAAAAUUCGCGAAUAUUUCUCUAUCUUUGGAAAAAAUUCGUAAACGGACCGUUUAAUUCGGAUUUUUAAUAAUUCGCGAAUAAUUCGCGGAUUAACUAACAUAGGUUGGUACCCGAGACCCAAAUUCGAAUUCUAGUUGAUUCACAUUUCCAGCUAAGUUUAUUUCUAAAUGAAAUAAACGAAACAGUAGCGCACUAUUUAUCUCUCUAAAAAAAAAAAAAAAUUACAUGCGCACCGGAUCUAUUAAAAUAUCAAAUGCACCAAAUCUUUUUUAUACACCUGAAAUAGUAUUCUCCCCUUUAUUGUGGGUAAAGAUAUACAUAUAUCCCGCAACUAUAAUUUUUUUCAAGUGAGAUCCACUCAAAUUAUAAUUACUUUUUUAAUUUUAAUUUUUAUACUUAGUUCAAUUAAAUUACCAAAGAUAAUUAAAAUUAUUGAAUAGGAUGAAAUUACUAAUGAAUUAAUUAAAGUGACCAUUGAUGAUUGAAAUUAUUAAAUUUGACAAAAUUACUAAUUAAUUUGAUAAAAUUACUGAAACACAAAAACUAAAAGUUUAGAAAAUCUCUAUACAUUUUCACUAAAAAGAAAAUUGACAAAAAAUUUGNAAUGGACCCCUGAAAUUUAUUUAUUUUUAAUUAGGUUUUUGUAAUUUUUGAAUUUCUAUGAAUUAAUUUUAAUUAACUAAACAAAAUGAGUCUCUAAGAAGUUGUAACUUAGUCUCAAAUAAUUUAAAUAGGAUGGAUAACUUAGUCUCAAACUGUAUAAUUUAUUCCUUUUUUUUUUCCCUACUAUUUGACUUUUACUGCAACGACGGCCACAACGCAUUAUGGUCUUCUCAUGAAAAGAAAAUUAUAUAUAUAUAUAUAUAUAUAUAUAUAUAUAUAUAUAUAUAUUGUGAAGCAUCCUUUUCUGCUAUCAUGCCCCUGCUUCGCCUCUGUCGCUGGCACCGCCCUCGCCCUAACGCGCUCUCCCUCUCUAUCAUUCCCAAAUGUUGCGGCAUACUCGUCACCGUAACCGUCACCAGCAUUGGUGAAGGUAUUAACAAGGUAGGAGAAAGUUGUGCAGCACCGUCGUGGGGCCGGUAGAGAAGGAGGGAGAGGAAACAGAGAAAAAAAGAAAAAGGGAGGAAGAAAAGACGAGGAUGAGGGAGAAAAACAAAUAAGAAUAAAAAAAAAUUAGAAAAAGAAUUAAAGAUAUUUUAAUCAGUAUACUAAAAAUUCAAAUCUACUUUGUAAAGUAUAAAAAAUAAUUUAUUUUUACAAAAAAUCUAAAAUUAGUGAAUUUUGCUAAUUUCCACUCCCUCAGUACUUAAUCCUACUUUAUUUUUUGAAAACCUUCAAAUACCACCUCCGUGGUUUUGCCUCUUUUUAUUUUAGUACCAUAUAGUUUAAAUGUAUCAGUUGAGUACUCCGUAGUUUUAUUUUUCUCUUUUUAUUAUUACAUUCACUAAUUUUUUUCGUUAAAUCAGCAACAAAGUUAAAACUAAAAGGUGCUAAAGUAAUAUUCGAUAAACAUAGAUAGGGUAUCUGAAGUUUUUGCUAUAUAAUUUAACGAAAUGUUAAUGGAGGAGUUGGCUAAAAGGAAAAAAUAAAACGACAGAAUAAUAAAUUAAUACAUUUUAAAUUAUAAAGUACUACAAUAGAAAACUACAAAACUACAGGGGCGUAUUUGAAAUUUACCCUUUAUUUUUCGUGUAAUUUACUCUUGGUAGCAAGCACGUGACACACACGGCGAAUUGCCAUCAAAUGGGGACGCGCCACGUGGCCAGCAAAAGGCGGCGCGUGGAGGUCACCGUCCGUUGAAAUCGCGACGUUCUCCGUUGACCCGUGCUAUAAUGAGGACACAGGAAAGUAGUGAUAGUGACAAAUACGGUGUGGCCACGUGUCAAACACGGCGUUCUUUAAUUCAAGGACUAAACGGUCAACUUUCUCCCACGUGGGAAGAAACGGAUAAUUCGACCUCAUUACUAACCUAAUCCUCGCUAAUUAAAAUCCAACCUAAUCCUAUUAAUUAGCUUUAGAGCUAGUUUAGCUUAAUUUGGUUGUGGAUAUAUAUAUAUAUAUAUAUAUAUAUAUAUAUAUAUAUAUAUUUGGUAAAAUUCAAAUACUAUCGCUGUGAUUUCACACUUUCUCACUUUAGUACCUUGUGUUUUAAAGUGUAUUAAGUUUGUAUCCUAUGGUUUCAUUAUUAUCUUUUCGUCAGCUUCUCCGUUAAUAUUUCGUUAAAUUACAUACUAAAAUUUCAGAUACCCACCUAAGUUUAUCGAAUAUGUACUUUAGCGCCCUUUAGUUUUUAAUUUUGUCACUGAUUUAAUAAAAAAAUUAAUAAAAUCGAUAAUAAAAAGAUAAAAAUAAAACCACGAGGCACUAAAUUAAUAUACUUUAAACCACAGGAUAUUAAAGUAAGAAAAUAUGAAACCACAAGGGUGGUACUUGAAGUUUUUUUUUUUUUAUAAUUAAAGCCUAUUUUGGCUCUCAACUUCUGCUUCUAUUUUUAGCAGCAACAAUUUCUACGAAAGUGUUUGUUAAGGGCAAAAAAAAAAGAAAUUUUUUGUCAUUUUAGGUACAACAAAAAGGUGAUCAUACGAAACUUACAUGUUGAGUUUUAGAAACAGUAGCUCUAACAUAUUAUUAUUUCUCAUUCUAUUAGCUAGGAAAAAAUAAAACUAUUUGAAAAAUUAGUAAUUAAAAACAUAUAUGCAGUAAUUCCAACUCACAAGCAAAAUUAUUACGCCAUAAACUCUGAUCAUAAAAUAAUAUCGAUCAUAACGUAUAAACUAUGAAGCGCACAUCAGGUAUUUCUCAACUAAACAGUAAACAAAUUUUCGAAUGUGAUAGUCAAAUAUUCUUUAUUGAAUAUAUUAUUGUUGAAAACAGAAGCGGAACCGAAGAAUCAAAGAAGCGACUGAGGUUGAUUUGUUGAGAACACACUAAAUUCCAAACGCGAGUGAUCCAUGCGUGAGGAGGCAUAUUAGAAAAUCGAGGAACACGACGAGAUACUGAAAGUGGGUGGUUCAUUUAUUCUCUUGUGCCGAUUUAGUUGAAAAGUCUGCUAAAAUCUUUACUUUCUUUCUCUUUCUACUUUUCGGCGGCUCCGGGUAGUUGGAAUUAUACUUCUCCACCUUCUUCUUUUUCUCUUUUUAAUUUGUCACAAUACACCGACCGCCCGUGGCUAAAGCAAGUGGUAAAAAAUUUGAUGGUUGGUAGUUGGUUCAGUGGGUAGUUGGUUGAAUUGUAUGAUCUAAAAGGUGAAGAUGAUCAAAGACGUAUAUAAAAAAUUACAAGCACAAAAUACUUGGUGCUUUUACAAGCACCAUAGCCGGACUCUCUCUCUCUCUCUCUCUCUAUAUAUAUAUAUAACCGGACUCUCUCUCUCUCACUCUCUCUCUCUCUCUAUAUAUAUAUAUAGAGAGAGAGGCUAGUAUACUAUCGGUAAUACGGAGGCCUUCGUACUACCAAAUUAUUUUCAAUAAUGCGGCUUUCAAAUCGACGAUCGGUUCUGUUAAACUUGAUAUACACUAUUAAAAGUAUUUGGAAACUAAAUUUUAUAAUUUUUCGACAUUAUUUGGCUAAUGAUCAAAAGGUCUCAAAAUUGACAAUUUUAAUGGUUGAUGUGAUGCGUUUGUGAUUUAACGUUGUAAAACAAUUCAAAUCUUAUGAAAUUUUUAUAAAAACUUCUUUUCACUAUUUAGAGUAAGAUCAGUACAUUUGAUUUUAAAUUUAAAUUUAUUAUCAUUAUUUUUUAUGAGAUUUUUAUUUUCAGCUGUUCAUUUUUAAACUAUUCAUUUUAUAGGUAAAUAAAUAAUGUCGAAAAAUUAUGAAAUUUAGUUUUCAAAUAAUUUCAAUAGUGUAGAUCAAGUCUAACGGAGCUGAUCGUCUGCUCUCUCUCUCUCUCUCUCUCUCUCUCUCUCUCUCUCUCUCUCUCUCUAUAUAUAUAUAUAUAUAUAAAUCUAUACUAUAUAUAAAAGUGUAUAGAAAUGAUAGUCGGAAUUAAAAAAGAAUAAAAAAUAUUUCCUAUGAACUGUUAUGAUCAAUUUAUUAAAAAAUAUCUUAAAUAAGAACGAAUGGUUAUGAUCAAUUCAUUAAAAAAAAACAUUCAUAACCAUCUAUAACUUCAAUUCUACGAACAGGCAUAAUUAUUUUGUUAAAAAUAUUUAAAAUAUAAAUGAACGUUUAUGAUCAAUAUGUUAAAAAAUAGCAUUUCUAUUCAUCUAUUUUAUAUUAAAAUUUAAAUUUGAGUUUAAAACACGAAUUAAAUUUAUUUUUUGAUAUCAAAUUUGAAUUAACAAUUAAAAUUUUUUAAUUAUAUAAUAGAUCAAAAUUAAAGUUUACAUUUUGAAAUAAAUGUCAAUUUAAUUUUGAUGCUUUUAGUUUAAAACACAUAUUUAUAUUUUAGAUUUAUUAGAAAUCGAAAAAUAUAUAAAAUUUUUUAAUAUAUAUAUAUAAAAAGAAUAAUAUAGAAUAUUACAAAUAUUUUCUAGUAAAAUAUAAUACAUAAAUUUAUAAAUUAUAAUUUUUACUGUGAAUUUUUAAAUAAAUAUAAUGUACAAAUUCAUAUUGAUUUAAAGUAAAUUGAAAUAAUCGUUACGUGCAGUUACACGUACACUAAACUAAACUAGUAUAUAUAUACAUACAUGUACAUAUUAAUGUAGAGUCACAUCACACUAACGAAUUAGUUCCUUGAAAAGGUGUUGAUAAAAAGUAUUUAAUUUCACAAUUUUUAAUAUUCAGAUAAAAAUUAAAAUAAUAGAAAUAUUAUUUCUUUUAUAAAUUUUCUUAGAAAAGAUUAAAACAUAUUUCUACCGAAAUUAAAGAGAUGAAAAAUAUAUAUAUUCUGGUCACGAAACUAUUUUUUAAUGAUAAAAGCAUAUAAAACUUACCCAAACUUAAUUGAGACCAUUUUGAGUUGUCAACAGCAUUUUGACCGCAAAAUUUAUAUGUGUCAUUUAGUAUUACAGGGUUAGCUGAUAUACUUUAUAUAAUUCUCACAACUAUAUAUUUAAUAAAGUAAGUGAUUAUCUUACUUUAUUUAAAAAAGUAAGUAAUUUUCAAAGGGGCAAUUGCUUAUAUUUUUCUGAAAUGUUUCUGACUUUCUUAUUUACCAUUCUUAGAACGGUAAUAGUAUGUCCCUAGAGUUAAAUUAUAUUAGUGAAUUAGUAGGAAUAUACCCUUCCACCGUUACCAGCUUUUCUUAUUUGCCUUUAAUCUAUGGGCAAAAUUGGUAUUCUUACUUUUAUUUUAACUAUGAUAGAAAUUUAAUUCAGAUUUAAUCCGAAAUUAUUUGAUGGACACUAACAGUAAAUAUAUUUUUGAAUAACGGAGAAAUAUGUGAAGAGUAUAUUUGAAAUAAAAAAUAAUAAUAAUAAAUAAGAUAUUUCAGAAGUUUUGAGAAAUAUAUACAUAACUUUUUUUUUUUUUUUUUAAUCAGACAUAAAAUGUGCUUGAAUGAAUCCAUGACCCAUGAUGAGCGCAGGUUCAAUGUUAGAAAAGCCCAAAUAAAGAAGGGCCACAUGCAUGUUGGGUACAUGCAUGAAUGCACAUACAGGACAUGACACAUUGUCGUGUAGUUUGCAGUUAAAGUGGAAUUCCCAUCCCGAAACACACGGAAAUCCCAUGUCUAAUAAAAGAAGAGACAAAUUGUGCAUGCACUUUGUUAAUUGCAUCAAUUUUCGUGGUCCCGUUCCGAAUAUAAAUUAAAAUUUCGACAUGAAUAUAACGUGACAGGUCAUUUUAUCUAACAAUUUAAGCUUUUAGUUAUUACAUCGUAUUAAGGUUCGGUUCACACUUCUGUCCUAGUUCAAUGCCUUUGAUCGAGUCCGUCCUGUGUCCGUCUUGUCCAAUUAUCACUAAAAAUCAUUCAGUUCUUACUCUUUUGCUCAUUUCUUUUCUAUCGGUCAAAAAGAAGCUACGACAAUUUGAAGUUUAUAAUUAUGCUUCUUAUUUUCAGAUAGUGUUAUUAGAAUAGAUAAAACUCUAGCGGGGAGUGUUGAAAUUUUAUUAGAAAUUAAGAUCGUACAUUCUGUCAUAAUUGUGAUUUCUAUACCUGAUUUGUAGGCGCGAAUAUUUACUCGUGGUUCGUUCUCGUUCGUGAUCUAUAAGAAAACGAAACAUUUCGAGUCUAAUUCUCUUAUCUCCGAAAAUGGAGCCGUCACGAAAAGUUGGAUUAGGGUUAGACCGUAACUCCCAUAUGUUACAUAUUUGUAUAUAACUUAAUAUAAGAACGUUAAAUCAUCUCCGUCCAUCAAGGAUAUGUCUAGAUACAUCCUAACCGAUAGACCUAUUAUAUCUUUAUAGAUUGACUUGAAUAAACCGACUUUAUUUUUAUAGAUCGCUUUGAAUAAAUCACGUGAGCCACAUCCAAUAGGGAGUUCGUCGAGGAGCUAUUCAUCACGUGUUAGUUUUAUUAUCAUCUAAAAUUUUUUUUAGACAUUUUUAACAAUAAAAUCUAAAACAAAAUUAUAAUUCAAGAAAGAAGAAUUAUAAUCUUUAAACAGAGAAAAAACUGAAUAUAUGACAGUGGAUCAGGGCUCCUCAAUGAGUCGUCGUCAGGGAGCUCCCUACUAAAAGUUUUAUUUUAUUAAAAUUAUGUUGUUUUUGAGUGAUUUCACGCUGUAAUAUGUAAGAUAUAUUUACCAUCACACUCUUCCACAGUAUGAAACAUUUUUUUUUCAUAAUUUUAAUCAGAGCUUUAAUUUAGAUGUUUCAACUUAAAGUUUAAAUUUUUGGAUUGGGCACGAAUCCUUUAACACCUACAAUAUUAGAGGUUUUAAAUCAGCAUUUCAUUCAUCAAAUACAUUUUCAAUAAUAUUAAAAAAAAUAAACUAUAUAUCAACAAAAUUCAUAAAUUUGAAAUAUAAAGUACAGAAUAAUUGCUCCCCGUGAUUUAUGUACCUAAUUAAUGUCUGCGCAGUAAUAUUUCAGAACUCAUGAUUUUUAAUAUACAUAUAUCAUUCGAAUAUUGUAGAUCAUACUAAUCUUCUUUAGUUUUAAUUUUAUUGGACGAAUAAUUAAAAAUUAAUAACCGUGUACGAGAAAUAGUCAUAAACCAGGUGCAGGCAAUAAGUUUUUGCAUAAACACUGUUCAUGUGUCGGCGCUUAAACUAUAUGAUAAUGAUAAGCCAAAAAGGUCAAAGGACAUGAGAUAGGUGGUGACGUACGUAUUAAUAUAACUAUAAAUAUAAAUAUAGAGUGAGGCUACUAUGCUAUCGGAAGCACGGAGCCUUCCGUGCUUCCAGCUCGUUUUCAAUAUUGCGACUUUCGAAUCGUCGAUCGGCUCCGUUAAAUUUGAUAUAGAGUAUUUGGAGUACCUAGAAAAUAAAUUUUAUUAUUUUUCGAUAUCAUUUUCUUAGUGAUCGAAUGGGCUCAAAAUUAAUAAAUUUCAAUGGCCGUAGUGAGCCGUUUGCAAGUUUAACUGUGUAGAAAUAUCCAAAUCACGUGAAAUUUUGAUAGAAAAUUCUUUAUACUAUAUAAAAUAAGAUUAAUAUCUUUGAUUUAAAAUUUUAAUGUCAUAUUAUUAUAUUUUGUAAGAUUUUUAUUUUCAGCCGUUGAUUUUGAGCCCUUUCGUUUACUAGGCAAAUGAUAUCGUAAAAUAAUAAAAUUUAUUUUCUAGGUACUCCAAAUACUCUAGAUCAAGUUUAACGGAGCCGAUCGACGAUUCGACAGUCGCAACAUCGAAAACGAGCUGGAAGCACGGAAGGCUCCGUGCUUCCAAUAGCAUAGUAGCCUCACUCUAUAAAUAUAAAUAUAAAUAUAUACUGAUACAUCAUACAUAUAUAUAUAUAUAUAUAUAUUAGCGGCUAAUAUCUACGUACUUAAUUACAAUUCAACAUGUCAAAAAUGUUUAAUAUAUACAGGGGAUUUAAUUAGCAACAGAGUUCUCGCGUUUCACAAUUCACAAAGAAAAAAGAAUGUAUAGAAUUUAUAUAACUGAUAAAGAAAAAAGCAUUAAAAUUGGAAAAAAAAAUGUAUAGAAUUUAUUUGAAUUAUAAGUUAUUUUGAUUUGAAUAUUCAAUCUUUUAAAAUUUUGAUCGUAAUAAUUAUUAUUUUUUUUAAUUUGUUUUGAUUUACAUCAUUUAAUGACUUUGCAGGUACAAAAUUUAAGUGAAUUGUUUGUUUUAAUAAACUUGUAGUUACAUGAAUAAAAUAAAAUGUGCUGAUUGAAUCUGUGAAGAUAAAGGACGUAUUUUAAAUUUUAAAAUUAAAGAGUCAUUAACUGGCUCAAAUCAAAUUAAAUCGGAAUGUUAUGCGGCAUAAAUAAAAAUUUUAAAAAAUUAAAUUGUUAGAUUAAAAUGGAUAAUAGUUGAGAUAAGUUCUAUAUAUUUUUACCUUAAUAUCAGAAGUUUAAUUAACCCGGAGAAAUGCAGUGUUAGGAAAUAGAUUACAUAUUUUCUAUAUAUUAAUGAAGUUUUCGUAUAUAAUUUAUCGGAUAUUACUGUAUUCAUUAAUUUCCUUCCCACCUAAAUAUUUUGCUUUUGAUAAAAAAUUUUAGAUGUUAAUCGAAUGAUUUGUACUUUGAUUUUAGAAUAAUUUAAGUAAUGGAUAUCUGUAUUUACCAAAUUUUGCAUUUGUAAUUAUACUAAAUUUAUUAAAUUAUAAAAAACAACUGUACAACUUCAAAACUUAAACUACAUAGAACGGUAUUUUUAUUAUUUAUAUUUAACACUAAUGUGGGCUGAUAUUAAAUGGAAGAAAAUAAAAUAAUAUUAGGAGUUUGGUAACACUUGAACACAGGAUAUAUCUUUUGCGCGAAUACUAUGUGGAAAUAUACAAAAGAACUGUAUAUCUCCAAAAGGUCGAAAGUUCGAAACUCUGUAUCUUCUUUUAGUGAAGAGGUGAUUUGACCCAUAACUUUGGGUUGGAGUUUUGGACGUCAAUGGAUACGGAUACCCGAAAUUUUAUCCGAACCUGAACCCGAAUGGAGCAGAUAUAUUUAAUGCUAAAUGGAUAUGGAGAUCAAAAAUAAAAACCUGACGGAUAUAGAUUCGAAUAUAGAUUUUGACUGUACCCGAACCCGACCCGAACCGGACGAAUAUGAAUUCGGAUAUGGAUUUUGACUGUUCCCGACCCGAACCCGGAAUUUUAGGUAGUGAAUAUAAUUUUCUAUCAAAAAUUCAACCUAUUCCGAUUCUUUUACACAGUUAAACUAACAAAUAUUCCAUACCGGGCGUUAAAAAUUGUCAAUUUUGUGAGUUUUUGAUUGUAACGUAAAUGAUAUCAAAAAAUUAUAAAAUUUGAUUUUUAUAAGUUUUAAAUGUUUUAGAUAACGUUUAACGGUAUGGAUCGUCGAUUCGGAAGCUCUAUCGUCGAAAACGACUUAUGAGUACGAGGGCGAUCAUACUCAUAAGAGUAUAGUAGUCGGACUAUAUAUAUAUAUAUAUAUAUAUAUAUAUAUAUAUAUAUAAUUGAGCUCUUAUGCUUUUAAAAGUACCAAGUCAUUGGUGCUUGUAAGUUUUCGACCUUUGGAUUAAUAGAUGUGCGGUUAGGAUGAUAUGGGUCCCCUAGGGUUGAGUGAGUGGUUGGUUGAAUAGUAUAAUCUAACAGAUGAAAAUGAUCAAAUGCAUAGAUCUAAUGGUAGAAAAUUUACAAGCACCAAAUGCUUGGUGCUUUUACAAGCACCGUAGCCGGACUCAUAUAGAAUUGAGCUCCUAUGCUUUUAAAAGUACCAAGUCAUUGGUGCUUGUAACUUUUUAGCCCUUGAAUUAAGAAAUGUGCGGUUAAGUUGAUGUGGGCUCCCUAGGGUUAAGUGGGUGGUUUGUUGAAUAGUAUAAUCUAACGGGUGAAAAUGAUCAAAGGCGUAGAUCUAACGGUAAAAAAUUUACAAGCACCAUAGCCGGACUCUCUCUCUCUCUCUCUCUCUCUGUAUAUAUAUAUAUAUAUAUAUAUAUAUAUAUAUAUAUAAAAUUUGAUAUUAUAUUUAAAUUUGUAUUUUAAAAAUUUAGAUUUGAUGUAAUAAGGGAUAAUUUCAUAGAUGCCCUUCUGGGGACUUUUAAUUUCAUCAAUACCCUUCUAAAAUUGAUAAUAUCAUGAAUACUCUCCAAUAUAUAAAAAAUUUUCAUACAUACCCUCCACUAGUUAAAGUCCGUUAGAAAUGGGAUUAAAUUUUCAAAAUGCCAUUUUUACCCUUUAUCUCUUAUCAAUAGUAAAAUUACUAAUAGGUAUUUUAAGACAAUUUUAAUAAAUAUAAAUUUAACUAAUUUAAUAUACUAAAUAUAAAACUAAAUUAUUAAUAUAUACAUUAAUUAUUAAAAAUAUAUAAAAAAUGUAUUUUAUAUAUAAUAUGUUUUUAUAUAAUUUUGGUUUUGUUUUUGGUUUCGGAUUUCGGCUCAAGUUUAGUUUGGAUAUAGACUAAAACAAUAACUGAAUUUGAAUAUAAUGAGACUUUUUUUUUUGCUUCUAUAACUGAAACUAUCCCUGCUCAGCAUCAAUUAAGAUCACCCAUUCAAAAUUGGGUUCAUAUAUAUCUAUAUCAAUUCACAUUCCUAAUCAGUAAUAGUAAAUUUAAAAUAAAUGAUAGAUUUAUUUUUUUUAUUUAAUCAAAAAUAAAUUAUAUAACUAUAUGCAUGCAUUUUUUCGUCGAUUGAAAAAAAAGAGAGAGUUUUGUUCAAAAGCUAAAAUAUAUAAUAUUUCAGUUUUUUAAUGCAUUUAAUAUAGAUAAAAUUAUCGUGAAUAAUUUUGGUUAAAAAAUUUUGCAAGUUUCCAAGAUUAAACAAAGAUAAAAAAAAAUCCUCAACUUUUAUUUUUAUUUAAAUUUUUAUACAUAGUUAUUUAUUUGCUAAAAUAUAAAUAGAGCCACUAGAUUUUGUUAAAUCAUAAAAAAAAUGGACAAAAUCUCAUUUUCCGUGCACUAAAAUUAGUUAAUUUUUUAAAAAAUUAAAAAUUAAUGGGAUGUCAACUAAAAUAUAAAAGUUGAGGGAGUUGUUUUAAAAUGACAUAUAGCUGAGGGAUCUCCAUGCAUUUUUACUUAUAGGAGUUGAGGGUAAACUAGUCAUAUUAAAAGUUAACCCAUCUUUAACCAUUCAAUAACUAUGGUAAAGUUAGAAUAACUAACAGUAGGGGUAUUGAUGUUAUUUUUUGAUGUUUUCAGGGGUAUGUAUGAUAUUUUAAAUUUUAGAAGGGUAUAUAUGAUAUUUUAAAGUUUAGAAGGGGCAUCUAUGAAAUUGCCCCUAUAUUUUAAAAUAUUGAAAAAAAAAUAAUUGUUUCGGAUUAAUUUGAACUUUCGGGUUCGGGUUCGGAUUUCGAAUUUUUGGUUGGGUUCGGAUUCAGGUUUUUGAAAAUUCGCCCCGAAUCCGACCAUUGACUUCUCUAGUUGGAGUGACUCCAGGAGUGUGAAAAAGAGAAAAAAAAUUUCUAAAAAAGUUACUAAAUAAGAUUGGGAACUUCAAGUUAUUUUUUCUAUUCCAAUUAGGAUUUAAAUUUCAAAAUAGAAAUUGCCACUUCUACCUAGAUUGGACUUUGCAUACCCUAACUUUAGUUUUUUACUUUAGAUGCAAUGGCUUCUAGAAGUUUUUUUUCAAAAAAAAAAAAAAAAACUCCCCCUUGAUGUUGUACACCUGAAAUUAUAGCAAGUUCAGCUUAUAUUUCUAAUUUUGUUAAAAUCCAAUAUAACAAUUAAUUCUUUUAAUAAUAAUAGGUACUUACUAUUUAAAAAUAGCAUCUCACGAAAUAUAUUUUUUUAAUAAUAUUGUGCAGACAAUAUUUUACUGAACAACAUUAUGACCGAAUUUAGUAUCAUUACUGUUUGUUUUUUUAUAUUUGUUUUCAAACACUAAUUCUAUAUAAUUUAAAGUGUGGGAGAAAAUAUUUCUUUUUUAUUGUGUUAUAAUUGGUUCCGUUGUAAUGUAUUUGGCUAAGUAACACAUGUCAGCUCAUUUAAAAGUAACACAUGUAUUUGCCAAAUAAAUAUUUUCUAAUAUUUAUUUAAUUAUAUGCCAAGAGUAAAAAUUGAUAUCUACUAAUGGGCCUAAACUCAAUAGGCUUAAAUUUUUAAAUUGAAACGAGUUUCAUUAUGUAUAUAGAGAGAGAGAGAGAGAGAAAGAAAGAGAGAGCUGCUAUACUCUGAUAAGUAUAGACCAUUUUGUACUUAUAAAUUUUCGGUUGUUGAAUAAACAGAUGUGCGGUUAGGAUGAUAAUGGUUUUCGGUUAGAAAGAUAGUUGUCCCCUAGGGUUGAGUAGGUGGUUAAUUGUAUAGUGUGAUCUAAUUAUGUGAAAAUGAUUAAAGGGGUAGAUCUAAUGACUGAAAACUUAUGAAUGCAAAAGAAUCUAUAGAGACAGAACUGAUCCCCUAACACAGAUAUUAUAUAAGCAUUCUACAUGCAUCGAGACUUUGUUAGUUAGAAAGAACCUAAUUUAGAAUUGAAUGUGCCGAUCGAAAAGCAAAUGCGCCUGCUUUCGCUCUUCUUUUUUCUGUCACCGUCGCUGAA